Long non-coding RNA from Drosophila albomicans, 7277 nucleotides. RefSeq lists it as uncharacterized. NCBI's taxonomy places the organism in Eukaryota, Metazoa, Arthropoda, Insecta, Diptera, Drosophilidae. The transcript has 6 exons. The record is from RefSeq and is a predicted model, not a curated record.
CACUUCCUUAAUUCAAAUGGGCUUCAGUUUACUUCCGAUUUGUGCAUUUCCACGUAUCAAACAAUUGGAACACCCAAAUUGCAUUGUGAGGCGAUGAUAAAUCUGGGAUUGCAGCCAACACACACACAACACAAGGAGAUCAAACAUAAACAGCGCCGCUAACAAAUAAUUGUUUAUCAUUUGUUUUGUGACGUGCACGACGGGUGUGCGAAUUAUGCACUGGACACUGGAAAUUGUCUCCCCUUCCCGUCCUUUGCGGCGUAGCCUGAUAAUGACAUUACCCAGCAGCAACGCCGCAUGACGUCACGCAGGAGGGCAGCAGCAGCAGUUUAAUAUACAGCUAAAGAGAUUGGAAUUAUAUUGAAAUUAUAGAUGACAAAAAUCUGAAAUACAAAAAAAGACAGCUUGAUGAGCCUGAGUGUCCACAGAAUACUCGAGUAUUUCAAAAUGAAAUUGAAUUCUUGUACUAUUCAGAUUUGAAUAUGGAUAUCGGCGGAAACCCGGCCAAGCUUGAGCACCUUGUGGCAGCUAGCGGAACAGCAGCAGAAGCAACCGCAACAGCAGCGGACCAGCAGCAACAGCAGCACUCACCUCGAACCCGGUCAUCAAAUUGAAUAACAAUAUUUUUGCAAGAAGCAAUUCAAUUUGCAUUGUUUGCGCAGUCAAGUGACGGGCCGCAGGUGAAAAUGGUAGCCACAUCUCUCUCUCUCUCGCUCUGCCAUUUUGUGUAUUGCUUUUGUUGAAUCUUUAACCCAACCUCGAAGCUGGAGGCAACACUUGCUGCUGCUGCUGAUGUCGUUGUUGUUGUUGUCCGCCCGCCCAGAGAGUGCGCAAUUUGACGGGCAAAUGGUUUUUUUUUCCACUUCACAUUUGCCUGCCGCACGGCGGCCAGGAUGCGUCGCUUAGGAUGCGAGAAGACCUCUACUACUACUACAUACCUUUUGGCUAAUUAUAGGCCAGAUCCUUUAGCGUGGGCAAUCAACCUUUCAACCGUUUUGCUACUGCUGCUGCUGUUGAUGAUGAUGAUGGUGAUUGAUUAGCAGAUGCUCAGGCUGCAGCAAAAGCAAUAUCAGGGAUGAGCUUAACCUAAGCAGAGCUGGCUAACUGCUAGAGGAACUGAACUCUCUUUAAGCAUAUGCAGCGCGUGCCAGAUAAAACAAACAAACAAACAAACACACACACAUCGAGGCAGCUGGAGACGAAGUUGCUUGCAGCUAGAAACUGGAGCAGCAGUGAAACAACAAAUCGAAAACUGAUUUGGAGCGGAAGUUCGUUUGCACCUUUCUGCAGUUUCCUGUGUGCCGACCAGCAAACAACAACAAGAACUCGAGACUAUUCAAUGCACUACAAAAUACACACACACUGAGAGAAGAGAAGGCUUGCGCUGCUUUGACGUUUUGGCCUUUGACGCCGCGUCUUUUGUCUUGGCCAAGCAAUGGCUUUCAAUUGUAUUGCAAAAGCUAUAUACUACAUAAGAAUACUACAUAAGAAUGAUUAAGAUUGCCCCUCAAUUGUGCACUGCAAGGAUAUGUGUGCGCAUGCAAAGCACCGCCAAGGAGCAGCUGUCGACGUCUACUUCGUCUGCUGUGUUUGAUUUGCGAUUCGUGGCUGGCGGAAAUGAAAUGACACGCAAGGCACAAAGGCACACACAGAGAGCGACCCACUCCAGACACACACACACACAUCAUUGUUUGGCACAAGAUUGGCACAAAAAAAAAAACGUGGAAAUCAAACGAAAUAAAAUAAGACUUCAUUCCACUUACGCAUUGUGCCUAAGAGGCGUGCCAGCCCCCGAACUCUAUUACGACGAUGUGUAGUUUUCCGGUCGACUGCCGCACACAAGCGGCAAUCAGGGCCAGCAGCAGCAGCUGCCGCUUGCCGCAACAUGUUGCAACAAGGUGCAAACAUGCAGAGCGCGUGUCUACAUCCUAGACGCAAAUACGUGAAGCGAACUACGCACUUGAUGUCACCUCAUUACCAACGAAAUUCGGCUGCUCUUGGAUUCAUUUUACUUUUGGGGGCACAAGUUAAUGAUGCGCACACCGCGCGCGCUUCCGUCGCGUUUAUUUGUGUCACAAUUAUGCGAGGCACUUGAGCUUGAAGCGCAGUCUGCAGGGCCAGGGCCAUGGUCAGAGAGCCACCUUCAAAAAAAUAAAACUGCUGACCAGCAGCAGUUUCAUUGACCUCUGUACUGCCAAAAAAGAAAAAACAAGCAACAGAAAUUAGGGCUGUGGAUGUGGAUGCGACGGUGUUUUUAAUGCCGUCAUAAAUGUCAGGUGCGCUGCCCAUUUAAAUUUAUUCAACAUAAUUAGUUGUGGCCAUUAUUAUUAUUACAGCGGAGCGUCAACUAAUUGCAUUUGGAAAUCGUGGCAAUGAAUAAUGAGACCCACGAGGACACUGGCCAAACAUUGUUUAAGAUAAAUGUUUGGCAUUUACUAUAUACGGAGGAGGGAAAAAAGCCACGAAAUGCAUAAGCGAUUAUUACAACAAGAUAGCGUGUGACUGCCGCAGGACAUCGAUUUCGGUUUUAGGACUCGUUAUCAGCACAUUUCGUGACUGCGACAAGCCACGUAAAAAACCCAAAAAAGAAGCGAUAUCGAAGAGGAUGAACAAACUCCAGCACGUGGGAACGCAGACAGUUGCAGUUUUUGGUGCUGUGCCAUUUGAUGUGCACAUCGUUAUCCUUGCCCCGGAUGCACAACAAUCAAAAUAAACUGCUGCCAAAUUGACCAUUGACCAAACAUCGUCAGCAUCAGUAGCCCAGCUCGUCCCACCCCCGCCUCCUGUUCCAUCCGCCCACUGUCAUCUUUGGCAUUGUCACGUCCUUGGCAUGGGCCACAAGUCAAAACGAAUGUUAGAGCCAACCAAGCAGCAGCAGCAGCAGAAGCACAAAAACAUGCAUUUUUACUUCAUUUCUCAGCAAGUUUUUUCAUUUUUCGUUUUGCUAGUUCUGUGUGGAUGGAAAGCAGUCAGGCAGCGACAAUGGAAAACUGUUAUCUGUCGAAGGAUAUGAAGGACUUUGCACAACGAAAACUAUCAUCGAUUGGCUUUUAAGCAACUUUCAAAACGCUUAAAUCCCACAAUUUUGAAAUGGAACUGCUAUGAAAAGGAUGUUGUCGAAAACUCGACAAGGAAAACAUAAAUGAUAUUCUCUGUGAAGGACAUGGUGUGACAAGGCUCAGAGGAAACAUAUACAGUUUAAGCCAGGAUUGGAUGUAAUGCAAAGCAACGUUUGUUUAAAAUGCUGCAACUGAAUAUGGAAGUUACUAGAUAUUGCAUUUUUAACGAGGAAGUCAAUGCAUCUGAUAGAAUGGAACGGAAUAUAGAAGAUCUAAAAGAAUGAAUUUAAAAAAUAUUGAAGAUCUGGCAGAAUGGAAUAAGAAAAUAAGAAAGAAGACAAUGCUUCUGAUAGAGUGGAAUGAAAUAUACAAGCUCUAAAGGAUGUAAGAAUGUGAAAAUAUUGAAGAUCGGACAGGAUGGAAUAAGAAAACAUUCAAAACACACAAAACGAUAAAAUUAAUUAAAUCAAAUUUUCAUUGUAACUGAAUUGCGGAAGACAAAAUCUUACACGAAGAUUGUAUUAUAAUAGAGAGAUUAUUUCCAAUCUGAAAUUCUUAAAAAAAAAUAUGAAACAUAAAUUACAAAGGAAUAUGAUUAUUAUUACAUCGUCAUUAUUAUUAUGAUUUAACAAACUAAGCUAACAAAUAUUCUUGUAACAAUACUCUAUCGAAGUGGAGAUCUUUUUCUGGUAUAUUCCGCACUUUAUGAUAUAUUUGGAAUGUAUUAGUUCAUCGAGAAGCUAAAUACAGCUUUCAGUACAUUAAUCAGUCAAAUCAAUUGCAAAAAUCACAAUGUCAAAAGCAAUUUAGAUACAAAAUAAUCAAUUCCAUAAUAUGAUAACUUUUAGAAGGAAAUUCUUAUGCGGCGCACAAAUUGCUCAGCAGACCCCUCAAGACUUUAAUAGAGCUUAAGCGCCAACUAAUCGCGUAUCAAAUUGCGUAACUCAUGCGCUCAAAGUACACGAUUUAGUGGCUUAAAUAUGAUCUCAACUAAACCACUUUUAUGGAGUGGAUUCACACCUCAGACGCCAAGCGAUCGUUGCUGCAGCAGUCGAAGACUUUGGCGUAUUUAACUGGAAAAUGGCUCAAAGGCAACCGUUGGCCGACGCACUUCUCUCAAGUUUUACCUCUUACAGGCGAUUUGCGAUAUUAUUGUGGAAUAAUGAAAUCGCUAAGAGAUUCCAAUUGAAUCUGCAGCGUCGCAUAGACCAUUUAUGGAUUGGCAUUGAUUUAAUACCGCGUCGUCGACGUUGAGGCAACCGUCUGAUGUCUUGCGUCCCUCGAGGCCAAGGCGCAAGGCAUUUUGCACCUUCCAAUGCAACGGUGGCUCACUGCUCGCUGCAGCUGAUCUGAUUCCACCGCCUAUCAGUGCUGCAGAAUCAGCAGCGAGCAGACGCCACCAAGCUUAGGAGGAAGAUGCUGCUGACAGUAGGAAAAGAAGAGGCAGCAGCAUCUCGCAUCUCCAUUGGCAUCAGCAACGGUCGCGCGCAAUGUUUAUUCAAUAAACCCGAUCGCAGACAGUCGCCAGCUGGCCAAGCCGAUGCUGGCAAGCUGGCUGACUGGCUGGCAUUCCUGUCCAGCUACAGCUACCCGGCGAUGGGGGCCAAAGAGACAUUCCCCCAUUCAAGACAAGCCGCAGGAAUUUCUUGGUGCGUGCUCGGCACAGGUUCAGCUGGUUGAAGAUGCGACUCUCCUCAGUGACUUUGGCGUCUGCCAGCUGCGCGCUGCGUCCACUGAUUAUGAUAAUGGAGGCGACUUCUUGAGGAGAGAGAGAGGGAAACUCUACCGCCAAUUGCUUUCGUUUACGAGUACAACUACGAAGUAUGAUGAUCGCAGAUCGUCGCUGAUCGACGACGCUUGGCAGCUCCGUUGACUUUCUGAUUAAUGCAAGAAUUCUCUCCACGGCGUUCUUCAACUUUUUUUCGUUUUGUUUUGUUUUCUUUUGUUGCUCGGACUGCAAUUAAAAGCGAUGUACCCUUUUUGGAUUGGGGAGGUGUGCAAAUCAUUAUAUACCACAACUAAACGAAGAGUCUCUCUCACAGUUGACAACACUUGGAAUAACUGCAGAACAGACAGAGCAUCAAGUGUUCGUUGCGGAUGCAGUUAUUCUGACUGGUUCUCCUCCUGCUGUGCGCUGGACCAGAUGCUGCUCCGCUGACGAGAUCAAGCGACAGCCUCGUGCCUGGCAGUUGUCAUAACGUUCAACACGUUUGUUGGCCCGCUGCUCUUCAUUGAAUGUUUUUCGAGUCGAGUCUCGGGAGCGACGGCGCCGGCUCGGACGAGGAGGCGCUGCAUCUGCUUUGGCGCUGCCAUAAAAGGAUUUGUCACGUGCGAGCUUUUGUUAAAAAUGCAGCAAUCAUCGGGCAAUCUCCAUUGUAUCGAUGUCGGCACAGGCAUCGCCUCCACGCCGUUUGCAUUAUGCAUGUUGAGCUGCCGUCGUCGCCGUUGCUUCGUUGCUCCUCGUCUUGGGUUUUGCGGCAUUCCUGCUUUAAUUCAAGCAGCGCUCCAAACAAGGAUACAUUAGCCUCAACCGCCCAUAUGGCCGCUGAAAACUCCGCCUUCAGGAGAGCAGCUCCUGUUGCUGCUGCUCGAUCAUUGAAAUUAAUAAUUAACUGGAAAAAUGUUGUGUGUACUACGAUCGCAUCGUUAUGAUAAGGACUGUGUUCGUUUUUUCGCGGCUGUCACACCUUCGACAAGGAUCUGCUACAGACUGAUGCCAAAGAUAGUCCCGAAAUAGACGAAGGGCAACAUAUUGAUGAGGUAGAAGAGCGACAGGAAUAGAACAGGACUCAAACGAGAUGAUGGUGAUGAAAAGAAUAAACUCAAACGAAGAAGCUUGUUGUUAAAGGUUUAAUGUUAUCAAGGUACAAAACAAACGCAAGACAAAAGCCAUUGACAUUUAAUGUUGUGAUGUGUCAACAGAAGCUAAUGAUGAGUGCCGAGGACUUUCGCAACUGUCACACCUACGAUCUACUUGAUUCGGCAGCCCAAAGAUAGCUCGAGGAUUGAGAAAUAAUCGAAAGACAAAAGGUUGAUGAUGGAAAUGGGAAUAACGAGGCCAUCAACAGGAGCUAAUGUCAUCAGUCGUCGUGCAUUGUUGUUGAGGCCUGGCGAGUGUGCGAAUGAACUCUGUCAUUCACAAUUACCGUUAGGCACACACACCCACAUCAAGGCAGACAAUACAAUACACAAGAGGGUAAAUAGACACACUUUGUGAUGGUCUGGCUAAUGCAUGACUUUGAGCAGAACUCGUUGCCAAACAAAAGGAAAGCGGCUAAGGACUAAGAAGAAUCGCAUUCAUUAUGCAUGUGUGAGUGCAUAUAUUUGUGUGUGUAUCUGUGUUAUUACCUAGGUGUGUGUGUGAGCCAAUCAAGCGUAGAUUCAAUCAAAUAGCAAUAAGAUUGACAAGAGGGCAGCGUUCAAUUGCAAUUUUAAUGUUUACCUGCAACCUGCAAGAACUUCAAACCCAAUGCAGCCCACGAGUCUCUUCAGCCCUGGCAGAGCCCUCGGUAAACAAUCCACCGACCGAGGCAGCGAGGCGUGUCCCUUUUGCCAUGGUUAGCCAAGGUGCAUUUUAUUUGGCGAGUGCGAGUGGUGAAUGACCAAAUGGACGAAUAGACUUUUUGCAUUUGCCACAACACAAACAAAACAGUGCACAACAAGAAUGUUAGCCAGCCUCUGGAUCAGCGUCUCUCUCUCCUCCCUCCCUCUAUCUCGCUGGCUCGCUCGCUCUACUCUUGUCGUGCCUUGUGUUUGUACACGAGCCUACAUCAUGGACAUGUUGUGCAGUGGACACAUCUGCACCUGUGUUUGCACUUAAAUCCUUGCCACGAGUCUGUCGAUGUGUGUCUCUUGCUGUGGCACAUGGGAAUUCGAUUUAGAUGCACUUACCACGUUCACAAAGUCCUGAAAUGUCACAUAGCCCGGACCAUUAGGCAGUUGGGCCUUCUUUGCACGCUCCAGCAACAGCUCCCGCUUGUUCAUAGGCACUUGGGAUAGGAAUUCCGGCGAUUUCAAUGCAACCAGAAAUUCGGUUACGGAUAUCUCGCCAAAACCCUCCGGAUCGAACUGCGCAACAAAAUCGCAAUUAACUUUGGGGAAUACUUUGAAUAGUGUUGCUUCAACUUACCAUAUCGAAAAGUAGUUUCCAUUUCUGUGAAAUGUAAUUAAGCAAAUAAUUAUAGUAUAUGGAAUUGUUUGAACACUAAAGGUAUCUUU